GGGGUUGUGGCUUAGCGGUAAAGCACUUGCCUAGCAUGCAUGAAACACUGGGUUCGAUACCCGACACCA
Molecule: transfer RNA, 69 nt
Filed under: Ictidomys tridecemlineatus (thirteen-lined ground squirrel)
Lineage: Eukaryota; Metazoa; Chordata; Mammalia; Rodentia; Sciuridae
Description: Spermophilus tridecemlineatus (thirteen-lined ground squirrel) tRNA
Rfam family: tRNA
About the family: Transfer RNA (tRNA) molecules are approximately 80 nucleotides in length.
Source: Rfam by way of RNAcentral